Molecule: long non-coding RNA, 371 nt
Filed under: Prunus dulcis (almond)
Lineage: Eukaryota; Viridiplantae; Streptophyta; Magnoliopsida; Rosales; Rosaceae
Description: sRNA ncRNA
Source: RNAcentral
GGGGGAACGCAAAGGGGUCGUGACGGGGGUUGUUCCGGAUGAAGGUGGUCUUUUCCCUUGCGGAGCCUAGAGUUGGCCGGGGAGCUGUGGCUGGAAUGUGCUGGCUGGUUCGGCUGAGUAUGCCCAACGUUCUGGGUCAGGUCCUGUUGGGCAUCCUGGGCACGAGUCCUCUCCUGGUUCCGCUUUAGAACACGAAAGUCAUGCUCUAGCUCAGCAUUCCGGGUAUGAAGAUGCUCGUACUUCUCCGACAUCUUAGUCAUACUAUCACGGAGGCGCUCCACUUCUGCCUGGAGAGAGGCGUCUCCCGGAGAUUUCCUUCGGGAAGUACCCUCGCGGGGGGUCUGGUGCUGGGUAUCGCGGCUAUCCUCGGU